Molecule: ribosomal RNA, 253 nt
Filed under: uncultured bacterium
Lineage: Bacteria
Description: partial 16S ribosomal RNA
Rfam family: Bacterial small subunit ribosomal RNA
Source: RNAcentral
UACGUAGGCAGCGAGCGUUGUUCGGAAUUACUGGGCGUAAAGAGUGUGUAGGCGGUGCUCUAAGUUCGGUGUGAAAUCUCCUGGCUUAACUGAGAGGGUGCGCCGGAAACUGGAGUGCUUGAGCGUGGGAGAGGAAAGCGGAAUUCCUGGUGUAGCGGUGAAAUUCGUAGAUAUUGGGAAGAACACCGGUGGCGAAGGCGGCGACCUGGUCCGAUACUGACGCUGAGGCGCGAAAGCGUGGGGAGCAAACAGG